Molecule: unclassified non-coding RNA, 169 nt
Filed under: fungal sp.
Lineage: Eukaryota; Fungi
Description: partial internal transcribed spacer region
Rfam family: Eukaryotic small subunit ribosomal RNA (bases 1-46)
Source: RNAcentral
AAGUCGUAACAAGGUUUCCGUAGGUGAACCUGCGGAAGGAUCAUUAACACGUAUCCUACGUUAAUCCCCCGUGCACGUUGACCACCGUUGAACGAUCUUCUUUUGAUCUUUGAAAUUGUGACCAGGAACGUAACCCGAACAACUGUUAACAAUGGAUAUCUUGGUUCUC